Molecule: long non-coding RNA, 3482 nt
Filed under: Homo sapiens (human)
Lineage: Eukaryota; Metazoa; Chordata; Mammalia; Primates; Hominidae
Description: ArfGAP with GTPase domain, ankyrin repeat and PH domain 11, transcript variant 1 (AGAP11)
Source: RNAcentral
AGGCACAUCCUCUCCUCUGCAGAGCCCUCUGUCCACAAUGCCCCAAGCAGGUCCCCCGGGAGACCCAGGCCAGGCUAAGCCUACAGGCACUGUGGUUCCCGGGCCCUGCCUGACCUGCCCUCUCUCCCGCCCUUCCCCAGCCAUGGACCAGCUGGCCAAGACCACCCAGGAAACCAUCGACAAGACUGCUAACCAGGCCUCUGACACCUUCUCUGGGAUUGGGAAAAAAUUCGGCCUCCUGAAAUGACAGCAGGGAGACUUGGGUCGGCCUCCUGAAAUGACAGCAGGGAGACUUGGGUGACCCCCCUUCCAGGCGCCAUCUAGCACAGCCUGGCCCUGAUCUCCGGGCAGCCACCACCUCCUCGGUCUGCCCCCUCAUUAAAAUUCACGUUCCCACCCUGUGUCCACUUCAUGAUUCCUCGCAAGCUGGGCCCAGUCCUCUCAUCCCAAGAGCAGAGCCACCGUAGCCGGAGUCCUAGCCUCCCAAAUUCGGAAAUCCAAUCCAACGGUCUCAGGAAUGUUUUCCAUCCCGCCACGCGCCUCCCGAAGCUCCCAGACCGGAGGCUCAGCCCCCAUCUCGGUAAAAUACCUGUUUUCUGACAAGACUAGGACUCUUACAUAGACUGCCAUGAACUACAAGAAGUAUAGCAUUGCUCAAAUAACCUGUGGUUAGAGUUACUUGUUAUUGGUAAAUAGCCACUGUGGAGACUAAGGACCAAAAGAAACACAGAAAGAAAUUUUACAGAAGAAAAACAGUGGGCCCAAAGCUGAAAAGAAAAAGAAGCAGCAUCUGCAGGAUCUCCAGCUAGGGGAUGAAGAAGAUGUCUGGAAGAGAAAUCCCAAAGCUUUUGCAAUUCAGUCUGCUGUGGGGAUGGCUUGAUCCUUUCACAGGACUCAGGAUUUGAAGACAAAAAAGCAUCAUAUUCCAGUGGUUGAUCAGACUCCACUAGAGCCGCCACCAAUAGUGAUAGUGGUGACGGGGCCUCCAAAAGUUGGAAAGAGCACUUUGAUAUAAUGCCUCAUUGGGAACUUCACCCAGCAGAAGUUGACCGAGAUCAGAGGCCCUGUGAUGAUCGUGUCAGGUAAAAAGCUCCGACUCACCAUUAUUGAAUGUGGGUGUGACAUUAACAUGAUGAUUGAUCUGGCUGAAGUAGCAGAUCUGGUUGCCAAGCUGUUCUACCUUUCUGGAAUGGUGCAUGGAGAAUAUCAAGACCAAGAAAUCCACAAUCUGGGCCAUUUUAUUACAGUUAUGAAGUUUAGGCCUCUCACAUGGCAGACGUCUCAUCCUUAUAUCCUGGCAGACAGGAUGGAAGAUUUGAAAAACCCAGAGGAUAUCUGAACAAAAUGUGACUGGCAGGUGUCACUUUAUGGUUAUUUAAGAGGAGCACACUUGAAAAAUAAAAGCCAAAUUCACAUGCCAGGUAUCUACUGAGCGUUUCAGUCAACAAUACAGCUCGUGUUCGACAAUAUUCCUUGAUGGCAGCACAGCCAGCCAGCAUUAUCUUAUAAUGACAAUAAUAUCUGUGACCUUGGAGAUACAUCAUCAUAUCACGGAAAGAGAUGCAGAUAGAUCUUUGACCAUACUUGAUGAACAGUUAUACUCAUUUGCGUUUUCCACCGUGCACAUUACGAAGAAAAGAAAUGGAGGUGGGAGUUUAAAUAACUAUUCCUCCUCCAUUCCAUUGACUCCCAGCACCAGCCAGGAGGACCUUUAUUUCAGUGUUCCUCCCACUGCCAACACACCCACGCCCAUUUGCAAGCAGUCCAUGGGCUGGUCCAACCUGUUUACAUCUGAGAAAGGGAGUGACCCAGACAAAGGGAGGAAAGCCCUGGAGAGUCACGCUGACACCAUCGGGAGCGGCAGAGCCAUCCCCAUUAAACAGGGCAUGCUCUUAAAGCGAAGUGGGAAAUGGCUGAAGACAUGGAAAAAGAAAUAUGUCACCCUGUGUUCCAAUGGCGUGCUCACCUAUUAUUCAAGCUUAGGUGAUUAUAUGAAGAAUAUUCAUAAAAAAGAGAUUGACCUUCGGACAUCUACCAUCAAAGUCCCAGGAAAGUGGCCAUCCCUAGCCACAUCGGCCUGCGCACCCAUCUCCAGCUCUAAAAGCAAUGGCCUAUCCAAGGACAUGGAAGCUCUGCAUAUGUCAGCCAAUUCAGACAUCGGGCUGGGUGACUCCAUAUGCUUCAGCCCCAGUAUCUCCAGCACCACCAGCCCCAAGCUCAACCUGCCCCCCUCCCCUCAUGCCAAUAAAAAGAAACACCUAAAGAAGAAAAGCACCAACAACUUAAAAGAUGAUGGCCUGUCCAGCACUGCUGAGGAAGAAGAAGAAAAGUUUAUGAUUGUGUCCGUCACUGGCCAAACGUGCCACUUUAAAGCCACGACGUAUGAGGAGCGGGAUGCCUGGGUCCAAGCCAUCCAGAGCCAGAUCCUGGCCAGCCUGCAGUCAUGCGAGAGCAGUAAAAGCAAGUCCCAGCUGACCAGCCAGAGUGAGGCCAUGGCCCUGCAGUCGAUCCAAAACAUGCGUGGGAACUCCCACUGCGUGGACUGUGAGACCCAGAAUCCUAAGUGGGCCAGUUUGAACUUGGGAGUCCUCAUGUGUAUUGAAUGUUCAGGAAUCCACCGCAGUCUUGGCACCCGCCUUUCCCGUGUGCGAUCUCUGGAGCUGGAUGACUGGCCAGUUGAGCUCAGGAAGGUUAUGUCAUCUAUUGGCAAUGACCUAGCCAACAGCAUCUGGGAAGGGAGCAGCCAGGGGCAGACGAAACCCUCAAUAGAGUCAACGAGGGAAGAGAAGGAACGGUGGAUCCGUUCCAAAUAUGAGCAUAAGCUCUUUCUGGCCCCACUACCCUGCACUGAGCUGUCCCUGGGCCAGCACCUGCUGCGGGCCACCGCUGAUGAGGACCUGCGGACAGCCAUCCUGCUGCUGGCACAUGGCUCCCGUGAGGAGGUGAACGAGACCUGUGGGGAGGGAGACGGCUGCACGGCGCUCCAUCUGGCCUGCCGCAAGGGGAAUGUGGUCCUGGCGCAGCUCCUGAUCUGGUACGGGGUGGACGUCAUGGCCCGAGAUGCCCACGGGAACACAGCGCUGACCUACGCCCGGCAGGCCUCCAGCCAGGAGUGCAUCAACGUGCUUCUGCAGUACGGCUGCCCCGACGAGUGCGUGUAGUAUCUGUUUUAUUUGACUGCAGUCUCCUUGGUGUAAAAACAAAAUGGGAAAAAUAAGGAUAACUCAGAAUUUCAAAAGGAAAUCACAAAUUCAGCUAAUAAUAGCAUUUUCAGUACUUUUCGUAAACUAAGUAAAUACACAAAAUGUUGAUUUUUCUGACCAUAAGACAUAUUUUAUGUCCUUUUGCCGAGGUGGGUGUGUUAGUCUCAGGCCCUCCUGGCCACAUUGCCCAAGUCACACAGGCUUCUGUAUUAUGUAUUUAGAUAAGAUGUGUGAAAAUAUAUUUGAAAAAAAGUUCAUAAAUAUGCAUUGAUUUUUGUA